This 400-nucleotide unclassified non-coding RNA is filed under the name soil metagenome. RNAcentral's name for it is "partial contains 5.8S ribosomal RNA, internal transcribed spacer 2, and large subunit ribosomal RNA". The stretch from base 1 to 122 matches the Rfam family "5.8S ribosomal RNA", at positions 35 to 154 of the family's 154-position model. The record is from RNAcentral.
GAUGAAGAACGUAGCGAAAUGCGAUACUUGGUGUGAAUUGCAGAAUCCCGUGAACCAUCGAGUCUUUGAACGCAAGUUGCGCCUCAAGCCAUUAGGUUGAGGGCACGUCUGCCUGGGCGUCACAUAUCGUUGCCUGAUGCCAGUUUCCUCGUGAUGGGUGACUGUGCAGGGCGAAUGAUGGCUUCCCGUGAGCAUUGUUGCCUCAUGGUUGGUUAAAAAUUGAGUCCUUGGUAGGGAGCGCCGUGAUAGAUGGUGGUUGAGUGACGAACGAGACCCAAUCAUGUGAGACCCCUACCGAAUUUGGCCUUCAUGACCCACAUGCGUCUUUGGAACGCUCAUGACGAGACCUCAGGUCAGGCGGGGCUACCCGCUGAGUUUAAGCAUAUCAAUAAGCGGAGGA